AAGUCAUAACAAGGUUUCCGUAGGUGAACCUGCGGAAGGAUCAUUAUUGGUUUGGCCUUUGGCCUUAUACAAUCUACACACUGUGAACCGUGGCUUCGGCCCAAACUUGAAGUCUUGAAUGUAACAUAUGAAAAACAAAAUACAACUUUUAACAACGGAUCUCUUGGCUCUC
RNAcentral lists this unclassified non-coding RNA (172 nucleotides) under Vishniacozyma dimennae. RNAcentral describes it as "partial internal transcribed spacer region". The stretch from base 1 to 46 matches the Rfam family "Eukaryotic small subunit ribosomal RNA", at positions 1786 to 1831 of the family's 1831-position model. Lineage: Eukaryota; Fungi; Basidiomycota; Tremellomycetes; Tremellales; Bulleribasidiaceae. The record is from RNAcentral.